CUUUUUAUUUUGAUGAAGUCCCAUUUGUUUAUUCUUUCCUGUAUGUCUUUUGCUCUAGGGGACAUAUCAGUGAAAAUAUUGCUGCAUGAAAUAUCUGAGAUUUCCUUGCCUAUGUUCUCCUCUAGGACUUUAAUUGUGCCACAACUUAU
Long non-coding RNA from Phyllostomus discolor (pale spear-nosed bat), 149 nucleotides. RefSeq lists it as uncharacterized. The transcript is spliced from 3 exons. NCBI's taxonomy places the organism in Eukaryota, Metazoa, Chordata, Mammalia, Chiroptera, Phyllostomidae. The record is from RefSeq and is a predicted model, not a curated record.